Podarcis lilfordi (Lilford's wall lizard) is the source of this 8064-nucleotide non-coding RNA. NCBI's taxonomy places the organism in Eukaryota, Metazoa, Chordata, Lepidosauria, Squamata, Lacertidae. The record is from the annotation of a GenBank genome assembly.
CUUUGAAAGGAAUAGGGGGCUCCUGGCCAUUUUAGUACCCUGAACAAACUACAGUUCCCAGGAUUGGGGGGGGGGAGCCAAGACUGUUUGAAGUCCACCAGUUAGUGGUGGCUGGAGACCGCUGAGACUGGUAGGUCAGAAGGUGGAGAGGUCAACAGCAGGUGGAGCCAGAGCCAAUAGCAGAAAGACCCAAGUAAUUCUAGUUUUGCCUCCAAACCUCCUACCUGCUGAAUUCUAGGAAGGCAGCACUGAGAAGGAGGAGGAGGAAGUUGGAAGGCAGUACCACUCCUUGGGCUGUAUGAAAGUAAGAACACAGGUGAGUAGGCGCUGGCCAAGGGCAAUUGCCCAAAUGGACAAGCCUCCACUGACUCUGGCCAGGGUAAUGCAAUGGCAAAAUACAAUGCAUUUCUGGGACAUUUUAUGCUUGUUUCCAGAAGGAAACAAGAAAUGGUAACUGACUAAUGUUUGGGGGUGUUAUGAAGGUGACAAUUUGUAACCAUGUUCUAGAUGGGCUACCCUGUAGGUUUACUUAUGUGUAAUCUGCACAAUGAAAAAUGCAGUUGGGAUAAGUGUCUUACCCCAGAAAACUGGAUGAAGGUUUGGCGGUUCAGAAGUGCUUUUAAUGAAACAAAUAAAUGACAAGUCAGAAGGAAGUCCUGUUGAAAUCUGUGGGGCUUACUCAAAGGUAAGUGAAUAUAAUAUUGCAACCCUAGAAAUCUAGUUAUCAUUCCUCCCUCUCUCUCCCAGCCCCACCUAAUGAACCAUUUCACUAACAACAUACCAGAAGCUUCUUCCCUCCCUUUGUCUGUUAAAUGUUCUUGGAAUAGCAAUCGAAACCCUGCUGUUUGCAGAUGGUCUUUUCUCUCUGACACAUUUAGCUUCUUCCUCCAAAACUGGGGCUAAGUUCAAGCCUGGAUUUCUCUUAAUAUCCUAUACAUUUCCCAAUAAAGUAAGUUGCUAAAAGCCAAACAAAAUUCACUCCGCAGCGCAUCAAGAGACUUCAAAGCAGGGAAGGUUCUCAGUGCGACCUGUUACUGUGUUUGCCACUGUACUUUUGCCUUCAAGUGAUGUCAGAAUAUAGUCUGGGAUUUGAGAAAAGAAUGUUAAAUGGUUCUUCAUGUCCCAAGGCGGCCUUAGGGGAGCUCUUUGACAGAAUAUGGUUUCACUAUAAACAGAGGGUCUGGAAUGUUUGGAAUGAAAAAGCCAUCAAAAGUUUGGGGAAGGCAACCCUUCCCUCCUCUUCUAACUAGAGGGAGGAUGCUGGGCGUAUGAGAGAGAGAAGGAACAACAAGACUUUUGAUUAAAAUCAAUGGCUCCCUUUAAACCCAUGUUUUACCUUCAUGGUUGGAGACAAUCUUGAUUCUGAAUACCAGUUUCUGGAAACGAUAGGAGGAGAGAACGCUUACAGGAUUCCCACAGGCGUCUGGCUGCCCACUGUGAGAACAGAAUGCUGGACCAGAUGAGCCAUGGACCUGAUCCAGCCUUACUGCAGCUGAAAAUUAAUCACACCCGCGUAGACACCCGCCUACUCUGCACUCCAACCAGCUUCAAUCCAAACUGAGGAAAAGAACAACCUAGCUGUGUUUUAAGCCAGUAAUGUGUACACAGGUUCUUCUUUCUGGGACCCAGAAAAAAACUUGAUGGAAGUGAUAUGUAUUGAUCUUUUUUAAAAAAUAAAUAAUAAUACAUAGAUCUCCCCACCCAUUACAACUGCACUAUGAAUUUGGAUUCUCAACCCAGCUUUGAUCUGAACUGAGGAAAAAGAGCAACCCAGCCGUCUUUUUAGCAGGUUAUGAUGCACACACAAAGUAUUCUUUCUCUGUGAAAAUUUUUGUCCCUGACUGGCCCCAUCUACUGGAAAUCAGAGGAAACAGCUAGUGAAGCUCUUUUGACAGUGAGCCAAUGAACUACAGUGGUACCUUGGGUUACAGAUGCUUCAGGUUACAGACGCUUCAGGUUACAGACUCCAUUAACCCAGAAAUAGUACCUCAGGUUAAGAACUUUGCUUCAGGAUGAGAACAGCAUUCGUGCUCUGGCGGCGCAGCGGCAGCAGGAGGCCCCAUUAGCUAAAGUGGUGCUUAAGGUUAAGAACAGUUUCAGGUUAAGAACGGACCUCCAGAAGGAAUUAAGUUCUUAACCCAAGGUACCACUGUACAAGGGACGCGGGUGGCGCUGUGGGUAAAACCUCAGCGCCUAGGGCUUGUCGAUCGCAUGGUCGGCGGUUCGAAUCCCCGCGGCGGGGUGAGCUCCCGUCGUUCGGUCCCAGCUCCUGCCCACCUAGCAGUUCGAAAGCACCCCUGGGUGCAAGUAGAUAAAUAGGUACCGCUUUAUAGCGGGAAGGUAAACGGUGUUUCCGUGUGCUGCGCUGGUGCUGGCUCGCCAGAGCAGCUUCGUCAUGCUGGCCACAUGACCCGGAAGUGUCUGCGGACAGCACUGGCCCCCGGCCUCUUAAGUGAGAUGGGCGCGCAACCCUAGAGUUGGACACGACUGGCCCGUACGGGCAGGGGUACCUUUACCUUUUACCUUUACCACUGUACAAGGAUGAAGUGAGAGGUGGUGGGCAGGCAAACCCACAGUCCAGCCCCUUAUAGUAAAGAUUAUAAAAGCCCCCCCUCCCCCAAAGAUGAAGCAUUUCUGGAAAGGGGACUCAUUUGCAGGGAGCUUGCCUUGGCCACGAAAACCUGAACCCGCCACUGCCAGAGACAGAGCCUCCCCUCCUCUUUUCCCAGGGCCGCAGGAGGGUUACUACGUUCUUUAAGAAAUACACUGUUUUUUUUCAAUUAAAAUGGCCAUGAUGUGCCCCUGACAAAGCCUACUGCCUUUAUGCGCUGCAAUGGAGCUGGGCUUUGAUGCACCCAUAUGUGCUUUUAUCCCACAGUAUGUAGUGGUGUCUUAACCCUAAGUAUGGGACUUCACCGCAAGAGUUCUUGAUGGGGAAGCCUUUUCAAAACUAAAGUAAAAUCAGUCCAAAAGUGAAGUAAUUCAGAUCUUUUAAAUCAGUUGUUUCCUCCUCCUAUUGGUGACCAUGCCUUCAACUGCACCAGGAUUUUCCAGAUCUUACCCAGUGCGGGCAUUAAUAUGUAUCUUAAUGCCAUGGCAGCAAACCACACUUUUUGUCCGGUUUGCAGGCAACCCUACAGGUGACAGAAAAUGCAUGGAGGAUUGGUGGAGGGAGAGAUGGCUCUGAAAAGUUUGCUCACAUUCAAGGUAUCAACAGAGCACCAGUUCUCUCCUUACAGAACAUUAGAUGUUAUAAAGCUAGGUAGCUUUAUUUGGAGGAUUUUACAGAGCAGUGUUUGGGGGAGAAUUGAAAGCUCAUGUAAAUCAAGGUUACCAAAUUUUUUUCAAUGAAUCCGGGGACACUUUUCAACUGCAAUUGAUUUUGUAUGGGGAAACGGGGACGUCUGGUAACCUUAAUGUAAAUACAAUUUCCGGAGGGCUAGGUGUGUUAGUCUCUUACAGCAAAAGCAACGAAGACUUCAGGCACAAAGCAACAAAAUCAUUAUGGCAUCAGCUUUCUUCGACAGCAGUCUACAUCAUCAGAUGGACAGCCAUAGCCUAGCAUUUGCUUCUGCAUGCAAAAGGUCCCAGUUUUUAAUAUUUGGUAUCUCCAAGCAGGCCUGGAAAUAUCUGCGGUCAGUAGAAAAUCCUGACCUAGAUGGACUCAAUAUAAGGCAGUUUCCACCGUUCCUAAAAAAAUAGAAAAUGUGGGUCUUUUAAGACGCCAAAAGGUUGUUGUUGCUUUAACAUAAAUACAGGUGCAGACCCCCGACUACAUCAGAAGUUCAGGUUAUACAGCCAUUUGCUUCCUGGGCCAUAAAAUGCACCAUUCUAGUGAUUUAUAGGUCCGUAUAGUAAAAGCUAUGGUUUUCCCAGUAGUGAUGUAUGGAAGUGAGAGCUGGAUCGCCAAAGAAUUGAUCCUUUUGAAUUAUGGUGCUGGAGGAGACUCUUGAGAGUCCCAUGGACUGCAAGAAGAUAAAACCUCUCCAUUCUUAAGGAAAUCAGCCCUGAGUGCUCACUGGAAGGACAGAUCCUGAAGCUGAGGCUCCAAUACUUUGGCCACCUCAUGAGAAGAGAAGACUCUCUGUAAAAGACCCUGAUGUUGGGAAAGACAGAGGGCAGAAGGAGAAGGGGACGACAGAGGACAAGAUGGUCGGACAGUGUUCUCGAAGCUACCAGCAUGAGUUUGACUAAAUUGCGGGAGGCAGUGGAAGACAGAAGUGCCUGGCGUGCUCUGGUCCAGGGGGUCACGAAGAGUAGGACACGACUAAACGACUAAACAACAACAAGUGAUUUGGACCUCUGGUGUGUUGAAUGGGGGCAAAUGCCCCAGGCCUCAGACAUGGAGGGGCCCGCACCUUGAGAAAAACAACACUCUCAAAUGAAAGGGGGUCCUCAGCUGACCAUUCAGCCCCUGGGCUUCACUGAGUCUUAAAAUAAGUUGUGCCUGUGAGUCAUAAAAUGGGUCAUAAAACCAUUUGGCUGCAGGCAAUCUUAGACCUGGGUAGUGUCUCAGCAGUACGUGCUGACCUAGUGACUCCAAAUUCCUGAAGUGAGGAUUCUCAGCAAACGGCUCGCCCCCAGGCCCACACCAACCAGAAGCAAUCAGAAAGGUUAUACUGCUCAAUGGCCCCAGUGGAUCCACAUCAUGCAUUUAAAGUGCAUUCUAUGCACAUAAAAUCUCCCCAAAGAAAGCUGGGAAUUGUAGUUUCCUCCUCGCAGGCCAAAAAUUCCCAGUACAGUGGUACCUCGGGUUACAGACGCUUCAGGUUACAGACGCUUCAGGUUACAGACUCUGCUAACCCAGAAAUAGUACCUCGGGUUAAGAACUUUGCUUCAGGAUGAGAAAAGAAAUCGCGCAGCAGCAGCGGGAGGUCCCAUUAGCUAAGGUGGUGUCUCAGGUUAAGAACAGUUUCAGGUUAAGAACGGACCUCCAGAACGAAUUAGGUUCUUAACCCGAGGUACCACUGUAUCCAUAAUGAACCAUAAUUCUUGGGGGGGGUGGGGAGAGGUCACGUUCUUUGAGUGUCCAUUGGGUGUACCUUAAAUAUUGCAGGGCGACAUGUUGAUAUUAGAACACAAGGCACGUGGCUCUUGCUUUUGCCCUGCUCUCUCUCAAGCAGCAAAGACAGCAAAACGUAGCACAAAACUCUUUUAAGCCAGCCUUUCCCCAUUCUGGUGCACUUCAGUAGUCCUUGGAUGACAUAAGAGCAUACCUUUGGGAACAGGCGAAUGGUCCAUAUCCUGUCCUCACAAUAGCUUUUGAUAGCCCUCUCCUCUGUGAUUUUGUCCAAUCCUCUCUUAAAGCUAUCCAAGUUAGUAGUUAUCGCUGCCUCCUGUGGCAGUGAGUUCCAUAGCUUAAUUAUGCGCUGUGUGAAGUGAAAUGCUUCUCUUCUGCAGGUGAAAUGGGGUGUUGGGACUGAGCUCAAUGAGGUUAGUGCGCAUCUGUGAGAUGUGCCCUUCAAGCAUUCACACUAAGCGAAAACAAAAAAAUGGAUUCCCACCCGCCCAGCACUGUGUGAUGAAGUUUGACAAGUUCCUGAUCAUUGUCCGUAGUUGGCAGGGACUGAUGGGAUUCAAAACAUCUCAUUCCCUCAGUGCUUUUUAAGCAACCUUUUUUUUGGGGUGGCGGCAUUUUAGCUGUUGCUAUUGUCAAGACAACUGGGAACCAGAAGGCAGGAUGAUCUACUGCAAAUAAUCUCAGUGUAUCCCCUGCCUGACCCUGCCUUACACAGCUGUUUGGAGUGGAACAUAUCGCCUCCUCCAACUGGAACCAGAAUUGUGUAGAUGUUGCAACUGUCAGAUCGUUCUGGCAGAGAUGCCCUUUUGCAAGCUUUAUUUUUUUAUUAAAUCAGUGCUCUCUGAACCAAGCAUUUGUGAUCAAAAGUAUUUGGUGGUAGGUGCUUCCAUCGAGUGGUGAAAGAAUGAGCUGCACCUUUACAAAUAUUACGCCUUUUCUAACAGGAAGGCUACACUGUCUGCUCAACUCUCCGUUUUAGAUUUUAAACUAGUAGAAAGAAUUUCCCCCUGGAUUUUAACGUGAUUCCCCCCCCAAAAAAUUUAAAAGUGUACUUCUUCUCUUGAGAAAAUAAAAAGUGGCGUGUUCCUGCUUAAACACAACUUUCACCAGUGUCUGCUAUAUAUCUUUUUCUCCUGUUAAACCUCUUGACGCUAAAUUUUAUCUGUAAGCCACCUUGAGUCCCUGUCAGGGGAAAAGGCAGGAUACACACAAACACAUUUAAUCUAGAGGACACCAAGUUGCCAAAGAUUAGGAUAAAAUAUAGAAACGGCCAUUUUUACUGUGCUCUUAAUUAAGGAGAAAUGAGUCUAAUCCUGAAUAAUGUAGCAUCAGUGGGGAAGAACUGACAAAAGACACCUCCUAACUCCCAAUACAACUAAGAAAAAAACCAUUUGCUUCCCUGUUUCGAUCGAUUCCGCUCCAAACUCUACCCAUUUCACAGAUUGUUCUUUUGUGCUACAAUUGGUGAAACGUCCAUAAGUAAACAAACAUAGCAAGGCCGGGGUGGGGGGUGGGGAGUUAUCAAGAUUCCUUUCCUUUAGCUUCUUGUCUCUGUCGCUCUCAGCCUCUGUUAACAGAAACUACGUUUGCAAUUUUGUCAAUUUGCUCAGUGACUCAUCUACCCACCUUCUCCGACAACAAAGCAAAAAAUGCCCACGUACAGAAUCAUUCGGCGCAUCUUCCAUCUCUGCAUCGAUCCUUGCAAAGGCAGCCUCCCCUGCUGUGUGUCUCUGUUAGGCCUCUCCAACUAUUAUCUUUCUUUCAGAGGAAUCAAUCUAUACAAUUAUUAUUGUCUUGAUAUAAACAUUCAAGCUUUCAGUUGGGGGCUGGGGGGGAGAAAACUGCAAUCCUUUCCUUCUUCGCUUUGUCUGCCAUCAUUGAGUUUUUAGUACUUCCACAACUCCAGGAGUACCCUUUCUCAGGCCCCAGUCUUGUAAACGCCCUUCCUAGGACAGGCAAAAAGUGAGCAGAGAAAUGGAGGAAACUCUUGCCUGCUCUGCUAGUCGUCUCUCCAUUCUCAGAGUGAAUUAACAGUCAAUUAAUCAGUCAAUUUACAGGGGGCUCUGUGAAUGGUAGCUCUGUAUGGGGAACAAGGGUCUCCUAACAACUCUCAGCAGCCCCCUUAACAAACUAUACUUCCCAUGAUGCUUUGGGGGAGGAAGCCAUGACUAUUUAAAGUGGUAUCAUAGUGCUUUAAAUGUGUGGUGUGAAUGUGGCCCAAGCCGAGCGCCCUGCUUUCAUGGUGGCCAAUCAGAUGCCUACGAGAGUCAUGUGGGCGGGACAUGAGCAACUCUCCCACACAUGAAUCCCAGUGCUGGAGGAAUCGCAUCUAGCCAUAUGGGUUUUCUGCGGACUGCCAUUCAGCAGUAAAACGUGGAUAUUCCUGGGUUAAAGCGCCAGGACAACAGCAACAACAAACCAGGACACGGAUCUGGAAAAUGCGGACUUGUGCCUAGAAACUGCAAAGCAAAUGUAAGUAUGGAUGAGCCCUUUGCAGAUGGCACCAAACUGGGAUGGGUAGCUAAUGCCACAGAAGACAGAAUCUGGAUUCAAGAUGAUCUUAACGGAUUGGAGGACUGGGAUCCAAACUAGCAAAAUGAAUUUCAAUAGGGAGCUUCUACAUCUAGGCAGAAAGAACUACCUGUCAUGGAUGCUUGAGAUGAGAUUCCUGCGUUGCAGAGGGUUGGACUACAUGACCCUUGGGGUCCCUUCCAACUCUACAAUUCCAAUCCCCUUUUAACACUAUCCGGUUCAGCAGCCACCCCUACACCUUACAAUAGCAGAUUCCACCACUUUUGCAUGCGAGGGAACCCUCCCCAUGGUGUCACACAAAUCACCGUAGCCCACUGUUCUCAGGCUAAACAGAGGUUCACUUCACAGGUUAUAAAAUAGGGCAACCGGCAACUUUUUCUUUUCAUCCUCAGGUCAUAAAAUGCCUUGUGAUACCUGCGUGCCCUGGACAGCCUGCCAAGGACUUCCACGAGCCCUCUUCCAGUUUCAUCAGGUCAAGGUCCCUAGAAACUUGCCAAAUAACUUCUCGCACC